Prunus avium (sweet cherry) is the source of this 735-nucleotide long non-coding RNA. RefSeq lists it as uncharacterized. NCBI's taxonomy places the organism in Eukaryota, Viridiplantae, Streptophyta, Magnoliopsida, Rosales, Rosaceae. The record is from RefSeq and is a predicted model, not a curated record.
UGCUCACCUUCCAUGUCCCACAUUACCCUCAUCUAUCAAUUUCAUAACAAGAGACGUUAGGUUUGCUUAGGUGGCAGCCACAUGGCGUUAGAGCUUGGGUAUAUUUUUCAUUUAUAGGCCGUGAAAAUCAGAAUGAGGGUUUAGGUUUCCACCAAAUUACCCCCAAAUUGAUCCCCAUAUUAUGAUAGGCAAUGCCCUAGAAUCAUUUAGGAAAAAAAUUGAAGUCACAUAACCCUAAAAUUUUGGUGUUUGUAGCUCAAAUUGAAGUCGACAUCAAGUGAAGUUGUUGGGGUUGGGUGAAUCGAAGAAAACGAUGGACAUCAGACCAGCAAGGCAUGGUGCUCGUUGUCACUAUGGAAAGAUGGCAGUGAUGGUGACAUCAUGGAUUGAUGCAAACCCAGGUCGAAGAUUCCAAGUGUGCCCAAAGUCAAAAAAGGGAAGAGGACAGAGAGUAUGUCAGUUUUGGGAGUGAUAUGAUCCUGAAAUGUGUCCACGUUCAAAGGUGGUGAUACCUGGGUUGCUGAUGAAGAUUCAUAAAUUGGAAGAGGAAAAUGCCAAAAUUCGAAGAAGGAGGUGAAUAUUGAUUGGAGCUGUAUUGGUUUCUUUCUUCUUGUUGUUGUAUGUAAUGAAAUGGAAUUGAAAGGAUGCAUUGGUUUCCUUCUUGUUGUUAUUGUAUGUAAUGAAAUGGAAUUGAAAGGAUGCAUUGGUUUCCUUUUCGCUAAUGUAAUAUGUUAA